UACCCAAACCUAACCCUAAAUUACUAAACAACUUCCACUCUUCCUCAUCAACCACAGCCCCUUCUUUUCAAAACUCACACCAUACACAAAUACACCCACGCAGAAAAAAAAAAGAGAACGGUAGAAGGGGCUGCAGCCUCCAUGCCUCGCCGCCGAAGUCCUGCUGCUGCCAAGUCACCAUCGAAGUCAACCCUAGAGAAAGAGGGAGUCUGCGAGUUGAAGGAAGCUGGAGGAGUGUCGCUGCCAUUAGCGUUUUGCGGUGCCACCAUCAUGGUCGCCGAGAAGGAGGAGGACCCGCGAGAAAGAGAGAGACGCGGUCAGUCUCAUCAUCAUCAGAUCCGUCUUUGCCGAUGGAGACCCCGUCGCCAAGCUGCUGCGCCACCGCUGCCACCGUUGGGUUUCCGGGAAGAGAAAUUUGAACGGGAGAGAGAGAACGAGAGAGAGAGCUCGCAGAAAGAGAAACAUCACCAUACACGAACAGAGGGGGGAGGAGACUCGUCGCCGUGCCUCUAGUCGCCAGGAACGGCGGUACCGUCGUCGGAAAACACGCCGGAGCUUCCAAACUCACCAGCAACACUACCUUGUCACUGUUCUGAAUUUUAUCUGCCUUUGUCUCUGUAUUCGAUUUGAAAUGACUACCUGGUGGUGUGGUCAUUGUGGCUGUCGUGAGACGCACUCUGGGUUUGGUCUCUUCGGUCCGUUAGGACCAUGCUGAUCAAAUAUUUGACUAUGUGAGACUUUCUAUUCAAGAGUAACGGUGUGCAAUGAGUACCUAUUCUUUGUCAAAUUCCUAGAUGUUUAUGCUCCAUAUGUCACAGGCAGGAUUCAACCAUUUUUAGUUAUUUUAAUUUUUGUUAAAAAUAUAUAACUAUUUAUUUUAGAGCUUGUAAAAUAUUUGUAACUUGCUUAUUCAACUUAUAUUUGAGUAUGUUAGACUUGCUAUA
Long non-coding RNA from Arachis stenosperma, 944 nucleotides. RefSeq lists it as uncharacterized. NCBI's taxonomy places the organism in Eukaryota, Viridiplantae, Streptophyta, Magnoliopsida, Fabales, Fabaceae. The transcript has 3 exons. The record is from RefSeq and is a predicted model, not a curated record.